Molecule: non-coding RNA, 557 nt
Organism: Odocoileus virginianus texanus
Lineage: Eukaryota; Metazoa; Chordata; Mammalia; Artiodactyla; Cervidae
Source: RefSeq, a predicted model, not a curated record
AUGGGCCCCAGCUUUACAGUUUAGUUUGUCUCAGCGGGAAACAGGAGAGACUUUAGUUGCAAAAGAUUAGUGCAAGGGGAGGCUGGCUGGAUAAGGGUAACAGUCAAUAAAAGCGGAAUGUCACUUUAUCCGAGUAGUUCCCCGUACGACGACCUUUCAGUUACUGCUUGGCUUGCGGGUGCGCGCAGCGAGCUUCGGAGGCGUGGCUCGUGGCCCUGACAAGAUAAAUCUGCAUAGCCUUUUAAUUGCGUCCUUGAAAUCUUUUUAUUUUAUUUUAUUUUAUUUAAGGUUUAGCUUUGAAUUGAAAUGACUGUUUCCCCUAAAUUUAGGGGAGAAUAUCUUUCCUCUCAGCGAGGGUGGCUCUCUGCACCCGUCUGGAGUCACUUUUCAUGACGAGUGUUAACGAACUUAGCAAGAAAUAAGUGUUCAAACUAAGAGAAACUAUGAAAUACAGAAUUUUCACAACCACAGGUGAUUUAUUAACUGGUCAGAUUUUAGCAAAAGUUACAAGCAAUACUUCUGGACUGGGAGAUAUGAAAGUUGGACCAUAAAGAGGG